Molecule: ribosomal RNA, 440 nt
Filed under: uncultured bacterium
Lineage: Bacteria
Description: partial 16S ribosomal RNA
Rfam family: Bacterial small subunit ribosomal RNA
Source: RNAcentral
CCUACGGGAGGCAGCAGUAGGGAAUAUUGCUCAAUGGGGGAAACCCUGAAGCAGCAACGCCGCGUGGAGGAUGAAGGUUUUCGGAUUGUAAACUCCUUUUGUUAGAGAAGAUAAUGACGGUAUCUAACGAAUCAGCACCGGCUAACUCCGUGCCAGCAGCCGCGGUAAUACGGAGGGUGCAAGCGUUACUCGGAAUCACUGGGCGUAAAGAGCGCGUAGGCGGGAUAGCAAGUCAGAUGUGAAAUCCUAUGGCUUAACCAUAGAACUGCAGUUGAAACUGUUAUUCUAGAGUAUGGGAGAGGUAGGUGGAAUUCUUGGUGUAGGGGUGAAAUGCGUAGAGAUCAAGAGGAAUACUCAUUGCGAAGGCGACCUGCUAGAACAUAACUGACGCUGAUGCGCGAAAGCGUGGGGAGCAAACAGGAUUAGAUACCCGGGUAGUC